AAUUGUCACUUUCUCAGUCUCUCUGUCCAAGUGCUCUCCACUUAUUCAACUAAACUCUAUAUGUGGUUACUUUGUAAAUGAUAUUGAAACUCGAAAGGGAAACCUCCUCUUGGAUCACUUUCUUCUCCCCCCUUUCAUUUUCUCUUUAACUAUAACAACAACUAUCUAUGUCAAUUUCAAGUGGGAUAUCAUAAAAAUUCCCGACCUUCAUUGUAUUGAUGAAGACUCUUAAAAGAAAUUCAAGAAAAAAGAAAUUGAC
Molecule: long non-coding RNA, 259 nt
Filed under: Olea europaea (common olive)
Lineage: Eukaryota; Viridiplantae; Streptophyta; Magnoliopsida; Lamiales; Oleaceae
Description: long non-coding RNA (OEUR_LNC014113)
Source: RNAcentral